GAUGAAGAACGUAGCGAAAUGCGAUAAGUAAUGCGAAUUGCAGAAUUUCCGUGAGUCAUCGAAUCUUUGAACGCACAUUGCGCCCGCCAGUAUUCUGGCGGGCAUGCCUGUCCGAGCGUCAUUACAACCCUCAGGCCCCCGGGCCUGGCGUUGGGGAUCGGCGGAAGCCCCCUGCGGGCACAACGCCGUCCCCCAAAUACAGUGGCGGUCCCGCCGCAGCUUCCAUUGCGUAGUAGCUAACACCUCGCAACUGGAGAGCGGCGCGGCCACGCCGUAAAACACCCAACUUCUGAAUGUUGACCUCGAAUCAGGUAGGAAUACCCGCUGAACUUAAGCAUAUCAAUAAGCGGAGGA
This 354-nucleotide unclassified non-coding RNA is filed under the name soil metagenome. Its description in RNAcentral is "partial contains 5.8S ribosomal RNA, internal transcribed spacer 2, and large subunit ribosomal RNA". The stretch from base 1 to 121 matches the Rfam family "5.8S ribosomal RNA", at positions 35 to 154 of the family's 154-position model. The record is from RNAcentral.